RNAcentral lists this ribosomal RNA (464 nucleotides) under Vreelandella stevensii. RNAcentral describes it as "partial 16S ribosomal RNA". It matches the Rfam family "Bacterial small subunit ribosomal RNA", at positions 338 to 795 of the family's 1533-position model. Lineage: Bacteria; Pseudomonadati; Pseudomonadota; Gammaproteobacteria; Oceanospirillales; Halomonadaceae. The record is from RNAcentral.
CCUACGGGUGGCUGCAGUGGGGAAUAUUGGACAAUGGGGGCAACCCUGAUCCAGCCAUGCCGCGUGUGUGAAGAAGGCCCUCGGGUUGUAAAGCACUUUCAGUGAGGAAGAACGCCUGGUGGUUAAUACCCAUCAGGAAAGACAUCACUCACAGAAGAAGCACCGGCUAACUCCGUGCCAGCAGCCGCGGUAAUACGGAGGGUGCGAGCGUUAAUCGGAAUUACUGGGCGUAAAGCGCGCGUAGGUGGCUUGAUAAGCCGGUUGUGAAAGCCCCGGGCUCAACCUGGGAACGGCAUCCGGAACUGUCAAGCUAGAGUGCAGGAGAGGAAGGUAGAAUUCCCGGUGUAGCGGUGAAAUGCGUAGAGAUCGGGAGGAAUACCAGUGGCGAAGGCGGCCUUCUGGACUGACACUGACACUGAGGUGCGAAAGCGUGGUAGCAAACAGGAUUAGAUACCCCAGUAGUC